GACGAACGCUGGCGGCGUGCUUAACACAUGCAAGUCGAACGGAAAGGCCCUGCUUUUGUGGGGUGCUCGAGUGGCGAACGGGUGAGUAACACGUGAGUAACCUGCCCUUGACUUUGGGAUAACUUCAGGAAACUGGGGCUAAUACCGGAUAGGAGCUCCUGCUGCAUGGUGGGGGUUGGAAAGUUUCGGCGGUUGGGGAUGGACUCGCGGCUUAUCAGCUUGUUGGUGGGGUAGUGGCUUACCAAGGCUUUGACGGGUAGCCGGCCUGAGAGGGUGACCGGCCACAUUGGGACUGAGAUACGGCCCAGACUCCUACGGGAGGCAGCAGUGGGGAAUAUUGCACAAUGGGCGGAAGCCUGAUGCAGCAACGCCGCGUGCGGGAUGACGGCCUUCGGGUUGUAAACCGCUUUCGCCUGUGACGAAGCGUGAGUGACGGUAAUGGGUAAAGAAGCGCCGGCUAACUACGUGCCAGCAGCCGCGGUGAUACGUAGGGUGCGAGCGUUGUCCGGAUUUAUUGGGCGUAAAGGGCUCGUAGGUGGUUGAUCGCGUCGGAAGUGUAAUCUUGGGGCUUAACCCUGAGCGUGCUUUCGAUACGGGUUGACUUGAGGAAGGUAGGGGAGAAUGGAAUUCCUGGUGGAGCGGUGGAAUGCGCAGAUAUCAGGAGGAACACCAGUGGCGAAGGCGGUUCUCUGGGCCUUUCCUGACGCUGAGGAGCGAAAGCGUGGGGAGCGAACAGGCUUAGAUACCCUGGUAGUCCACGCUGUAAACGGUGGGUACUAGGUGUGGGGUCCAUUCCACGGGUUCCGUGCCGUAGCUAACGCUUUAAGUACCCCGCCUGGGGAGUACGGCCGCAAGGCUAAAACUCAAAGGAAUUGUCGGGGCCCCGCACAAGCGGCGGAGCAUGCGGAUUAAUUCGAUGCAACGCGUAGAACCUUACCUGGGUUUGACAUGGAUCGGGAGUGCUCAGAGAUGGGUGUGCCUCUUUUGGGGUCGGUUCACAGGUGGUGCAUGGCUGUCGUCAGCUCGUGUCGUGAGAUGUUGGGUUAAGUCCCGCAACGAGCGCAACCCUUGUUCACUGUUGCCAGCACGUUAUGGUGGGGACUCAGUGGAGACCGCCGGGGUCAACUCGGAGGAAGGUGGGGAUGACGUCAAGUCAUCAUGCCCCUUAUGUCCAGGGCUUCACGCAUGCUACAAUGGCUGGUACAGAGAGUGGCGAGCCUGUGAGGGUGAGCGAAUCUCGGAAAGCCGGUCUCAGUUCGGAUUGGGGUCUGCAACUCGACCUCAUGAAGUCGGAGUCGCUAGUAAUCGCAGAUCAGCAACGCUGCGGUGAAUACGUUCCCGGGGCUUGUACUCACCGCCCGUCAAGGGCGAAUUCCAGCA
Molecule: ribosomal RNA, 1380 nt
Filed under: uncultured organism
Description: SSU rRNA
Rfam family: Bacterial small subunit ribosomal RNA
Source: RNAcentral